This 75-nucleotide antisense RNA is filed under the name Nocardia donostiensis. RNAcentral describes it as "ASpks TB sRNA". It matches the Rfam family "ASpks TB sRNA". The record is from Rfam by way of RNAcentral. Lineage: Bacteria; Bacillati; Actinomycetota; Actinomycetes; Mycobacteriales; Nocardiaceae.
UUUGAUCGAUCCCAGCCACAGCGGCCGGUCCGCGGCCCGGUCCUGCCCGUAGGUGGCCAGUAGGGCGCCGGCCUC